CCUACGGGAGGCAGCAGUGGGGAAUAUUGGACAAUGGGCGGAAGCCUGAUCCAGCAACGCCGCGUGAGGGAUGACGGCCUUCGGGUUGUAAACCUCUUUCGGUAGGGACGAAGCGCAAGUGACGGUACCUACUAAAGAAGCACCGGCCAACUACGUGCCAGCAGCCGCGGUAAUACGUAGGGUGCGAGCGUUGUCCGGAAUUAUUGGGCGUAAAGGGCUCGUAGGCGGUUUGUCGCGUCGGGAGUGAAAACCAGGUGCUUAACACCUGGCUUGCUUUCGAUACGGGCAGACUAGAGGUAUGCAGGGGAGAACGGAAUUCCUGGUGUAGCGGUGAAAUGCGCAGAUAUCAGGAGGAACACCGGUGGCGAAGGCGGUUCUCUGGGCAUGACCUGACGCUGAGGAGCGAAAGUGUGGGGAGCGAACAGGAUUAGAUACCCUGGUAGUCCACACCGUAAACGUUGGGCACUAGGUGUGGGGUCCAUUCCACGGAUUCCGUGCCGCAGCUAACGCAUUAAGCGCCCCGCCUGGGGGAGGUACGGCCGCGACGACGUAAACUACAACGAAGUAGUAGACGCGUGAGACGCGACGACGACGACGACGGAGGGAGGUAG
RNAcentral lists this ribosomal RNA (611 nucleotides) under uncultured bacterium. Its description in RNAcentral is "bacterial SSU rRNA". The stretch from base 1 to 525 matches the Rfam family "Bacterial small subunit ribosomal RNA", at positions 338 to 873 of the family's 1533-position model. The record is from RNAcentral.